RNAcentral lists this long non-coding RNA (710 nucleotides) under Mytilus galloprovincialis (Mediterranean mussel). Lineage: Eukaryota; Metazoa; Mollusca; Bivalvia; Mytilida; Mytilidae. The record is from RNAcentral.
CCAUUGUAAAUGUUUAAUUUAUUUCACAUUCAAAUAUAUGCAUAUGUACAAUAAAAACAUUGUUUAUAUUCGGAUUCCUUUAGUUUAUAUAUGUGUUGCUAGUAAACCAUUUUCCCGCUUUUUUUUUACUUUUUAAAAUCCCUUAUGUAUUGUUCAUCAAUUUAUAACAGUCAUUUAAAAUGCUUGUUGAUUGGAAUUAAAUUAGUGAAUAUUUUUUUUCUUUCAUAGAACUCAUUUUAUAUACCCAUGAUACUGUUAUUUUGCAGUUUCUAAACCAAUAUCGAUUAUUUAAGCAUCACAUUUACCAUGCCUUGAUUCAAACCUCUUUUCUACAUACUAACCUUCUUUUUUAUAUUGUUUUACCUGACAAUUACUAAUUAAAUUAACACAAUGACUGCUCGAUCAAAUUAAGCCCUUCAUCAUAUAUAGGAGGUCGGACUAUUUCUUUGUAAUCCAGCAAUUCAAAACACAACAUCUUAUGACUUACCAAACAUUACUUUCAAACUUUAAAUCACAUAAUAAAUACAUUUAUAUUUUACCUUUUUGUUGUUUUUCCCUGACAAUCAUAAUAUGAAUAAUUGAGAAAUCAAAUUUAUUCCUUUAAAAAAAAGGGCUGAAUUCCUUGUUUUAAUUUCACUAUUUACAACUUCAAAUAUAUAACACAAUCAGUGCAUUUUAAAUUAAUCUGCAAUGGAAAUAACGGCUUUGAC